CUUGCUCUGUGGGAUCAGUGGCGAACGGGUGAGUAACACGUGAGCAACCUGCCCCUGACUCUGGGAUAAGCGCUGGAAACGGCGUCUAAUACUGGAUAUGUGACGUGACCGCAUGGUCUGCGUCUGGAAAGAAUUUCGGUUGGGGAUGGGCUCGCGGCCUAUCAGCUUGUUGGUGAGGUAAUGGCUCACCAAGGCG
RNAcentral lists this ribosomal RNA (196 nucleotides) under Microbacterium sp. RNAcentral's name for it is "partial 16S ribosomal RNA". It matches the Rfam family "Bacterial small subunit ribosomal RNA", at positions 79 to 275 of the family's 1533-position model. The record is from RNAcentral. Lineage: Bacteria; Bacillati; Actinomycetota; Actinomycetes; Micrococcales; Microbacteriaceae.